This 391-nucleotide ribosomal RNA is filed under the name uncultured bacterium. RNAcentral's name for it is "bacterial SSU rRNA". It matches the Rfam family "Bacterial small subunit ribosomal RNA", at positions 30 to 420 of the family's 1533-position model. The record is from RNAcentral.
AGUGAACGCUGGCGGCAGGCCUAACACAUGCAAGUCGAGCGGCAGCGCGGGGGCAACCCUGGCGGCGAGCGGCGGACGGGUGAGGAAUGCAUCGGAAUCUACCUCGUUGUGGGGGAUAACCUCGGGAAACCGGGACUAAUACCGCAUACGACCUACGGGUGAAAGUGGGGGACCUUCGGGCCUCACGCGAUGAGAUGAGCCGAUGCCGGAUUAGCUAGUUGGCGGGGUAAAGGCCCACCAAGGCGACGAUCCGUAGCUGGUCUGAGAGGAUGAUCAGCCACACUGGAACUGAGACACGGUCCAGACUCCUACGGGAGGCAGCAGUGGGGGAAUAUUGGACAAUGGGCGCAAGCCUGAUCCAGCCAUGCCGCGUGUGUGAAGAAGGCCUCGG